GCCGCGGCAAGGAUGGAGCUGGGUUGCUGGACGCAGUUGGGGCUCACUUUUCUUCAGCUCCUUCUCAUCUCGUCCUUGCCAAGAGAGUACACAGUCAUUAAUGAAGCCUGCCCUGGAGCAGAGUGGAAUAUCAUGUGUCGGGAGUGCUGUGAAUAUGAUCAGAUUGAGUGUGUCUGCCCUGGAAAGAAAGAAGUCGUGGGUUAUACCAUCCCUUGCUGCAGGAAUGAGGAGAAUGAGUGUGACUCCUGCCUGAUCCACCCAGGUUGUACCAUCUUUGAAAACUGCAAGAGCUGCCGAAAUGGCUCAUGGGGUGGUACCUUGGAUGACUUCUAUGUGAAGGGGUUCUACUGUGCAGAGUGCCGAGCAGGCUGGUACGGAGGAGACUGCAUGCGAUGCGGCCAGGUUCUGCGAGCCCCAAAGGGUCAGAUUUUGUUGGAAAGCUAUCCCCUAAAUGCUCACUGCGAAUGGACCAUUCAUGCUAAACCUGGGUUUGUCAUCCAACUAAGAUUUGUCAUGCUGAGUCUGGAGUUUGACUACAUGUGCCAGUAUGACUAUGUUGAGGUUCGUGAUGGAGACAACCGCGAUGGCCAGAUCAUCAAGCGUGUCUGUGGCAACGAGCGGCCAGCUCCUAUCCAGAGCACGGGAUCCUCACUCCACGUCCUCUUCCAUUCCGAUGGCUCCAAGAAUUUUGAUGGCUUCCAUGCCAUUUUUGAGGAGAUCACAGCAUGCUCCUCAUCCCCUUGUUUCCAUGACGGCACGUGCAUCCUUGACAAGGCUGGAUCUUACAAGUGUGCCUGCUUGGCAGGCUAUACUGGGCAGCGCUGUGAAAAUCGAUUAAAAGAUAUGAAUGUACAGACACCGUGGUUGUCACACAGAAGUGUGAUCAACACCUUGGAAUGAGUUCUGGAGGCUGGGAAGUCCAAGAUCAAGGCGUCAGAAGAUUCGUUGUCUG
This 952-nucleotide small RNA is filed under the name Pongo abelii (Sumatran orangutan). Its description in RNAcentral is "processed transcript". The record is from RNAcentral. Lineage: Eukaryota; Metazoa; Chordata; Mammalia; Primates; Hominidae.